RNAcentral lists this ribosomal RNA (253 nucleotides) under uncultured bacterium. Its description in RNAcentral is "partial 16S ribosomal RNA". It matches the Rfam family "Bacterial small subunit ribosomal RNA", at positions 524 to 776 of the family's 1533-position model. The record is from RNAcentral.
UACGUAGGGUGCGAGCGUUGUCCGGAAUUAUUGGGCGUAAAGAGCUUGUAGGCGGUCUGUCGCGUCUGCUGUGAAAAUCCGGGGCUCAACCCCGGACUUGCAGUGGGUACGGGCAGACUAGAGUGUGGUAGGGGAGACUGGAAUUCCUGGUGUAGCGGUGAAAUGCGCAGAUAUCAGGAGGAACACCGAUGGCGAAGGCAGGUCUUUGGGCCACUACUGACGCUGAGAAGCGAAAGCAUGGGGAGCGAACAGG